CAGAAAGUGCUCUGAGCCCCAAGUCCUGAAGAACAGUUGCUGGGGAGGGAGGCAGAGAAAGCUACUGGAAUCCAGGGUGGAGCCUAAUCACUUCAUCAGGCCUUGGAAGGGAGGGUGACUUCGGAGGUGGGCUUUAUCACAGCCCGUUCAAGUCUGCGGGCUGGGCCCUGGCACUGCCCUGGAGGCAGAUAUGCAGGCUGGCGGCCAGCGAACUGAAGAGCCUCCUCUGUCUGCACGGUGAUCAACAGCAAGACAACACGCUUGAAGGCGCCACCCCAACCCCAACGUUUGGGCUGUCUGGCCCAGGAGAGACCACCUUGCCAGGGCGGGUUUGAGCUAGAAGUUUCACAACUCUGCUCCACACGUCCGUCUUUAACUACCGGUCGGAUACCCGCCCAUCUUUCAAGCGCCAACCCACGUUCCCUUCCUCCUCUAGCUUCAAAGACAUCUCCAUGGUCUGAUUCCCCAAAUAUGGACCUUCUGCCUUGGUCCAAGCUCUCGUCGUAGAGGACAGGGAAUCGAGACCAGAAAAGAGACCGGCGGUGCAGAGACCAAGCGCUGAUCCCGCUGGACGUCAACUUUCCCACGUGUAAAAUGGGCGUGAGCAGUCAGUUUUUCAGAGAUUUAAACUUUCCAUGACGCUUAAACUUCGCGUGCGUGCAUCCUCCCAGUCUUCGGGAGGACCCUGCAACUGACCAGGAGAGGCAGCAGGACUCUCCGCGGCCCCCGGGACCAGCUGUCACCGGAGCUGGGUUGGAAUCAGUGCUCCCAGGACCACCUAGGGAGUGCACCUGCUCUAGGGUGGGACAAAAGCUGGCCCUGGCGGGGACAGAAGCCUCUGGAGCUGUCUGCUCUGGAGUUCGUCGGGUGAGGCAGAGCGGUAACAGGAGGCUUUCUGUGUGGCUCUGAGACUUCUCCCCACGUGGCUGCUUGGCGUGAAGACAGAGAUGUGAUGAUGUGAUAGUGUGGCACUUGGGUGUGGGCAGACCUCAGGGGUCCUCCCAGCAUAGGCAUCAAGGUCUUCAAUGAACAAACGCUUGACUUCUCUGCA
Molecule: long non-coding RNA, 1051 nt
Organism: Marmota flaviventris (yellow-bellied marmot)
Lineage: Eukaryota; Metazoa; Chordata; Mammalia; Rodentia; Sciuridae
Source: RefSeq, a predicted model, not a curated record